Molecule: ribosomal RNA, 300 nt
Filed under: Triticum aestivum (bread wheat)
Lineage: Eukaryota; Viridiplantae; Streptophyta; Magnoliopsida; Poales; Poaceae
Description: partial small subunit ribosomal RNA
Source: RNAcentral
AUGGAGGUAUUUAUUACGGAUGAUGGUGAGCCAGAGGCCUCCCUCCCCAUUGCCAAUACGCCACAGCCAUCGGGUCAGGAGGGCAAUGUUCAUGCGUCGGGGAGACAAGAUCCCAAGGCCCCCCUGGUCUUUGGGCUUGCAGAUGUCGGGCCAGCUCACCAUAUGGUACUUCUGCUUGUCGCCCUCGCCAGCCCAGAAGAACCUCGACUGGUAUUUGGCCACCUCCUGGUGGAGGGUCUCAUGCAAGCCGUAGAAGCUCAUGAGAAACCAGAGAAGGCUAGCAAGCGAGGAGUUGAUUAG